Molecule: ribosomal RNA, 252 nt
Filed under: uncultured bacterium
Lineage: Bacteria
Description: partial 16S ribosomal RNA
Rfam family: Bacterial small subunit ribosomal RNA
Source: RNAcentral
UACGUAGGUCCCGAGCGUUGUCCGGAUUUAUUGGGCGUAAAGCGAGCGCAGGUGGUUUAUUAAGUCUGGUGUAAAAGGCAGUGGCUCAACCAUUGUAUGCAUUAGAAACUGGUAGACUUGAGUGCAGGAGAGGAGAGUGGAAUUCCAUGUGUAGCGGUGAAAUGCGUAGAUAUAUGGAGGAACACCGGUGGCGAUAGCGGCUCUCUGGCCUGUAACUGACACUGAGGCUCGAAAGCGUGGGGAGCAAACAGG